RNAcentral lists this ribosomal RNA (253 nucleotides) under uncultured bacterium. RNAcentral describes it as "partial 16S ribosomal RNA". It matches the Rfam family "Bacterial small subunit ribosomal RNA", at positions 524 to 776 of the family's 1533-position model. The record is from RNAcentral.
UACGUAGGGUCCGAGCGUUGUCCGGAGUUACUGGGCGUAAAGGGCGCGCAGGUGGCGGUGUUGGCCCGGCGUGAAAGCCCCCGGCUCAACCGGGGAGGGUCGUCGGGGACCGCACCGCUUGAGGGCGGUAGGGGCUGGUGGAAUGCCUGGUGUAGUGGUGAAAUGCGUAGAGAUCAGGCGGAACACCCGGAGCGAAGGCGGCCAGCUGGGCCGUCCCUGACACUGAGGCGCGAAGGCGUGGGGAGCGAACGGG